CAGAACGAUUACGACGCCAUUGGGCCGCCCCUCCCUCGCUGGUCGAGGGUGGUUAGUGGAAGCAACCGCCAUGGGUUCCUUUUCAUCCGCGCUGACUAAAUCCAUUGCCAUCGCGCUUCUUGUGAGGCCCAGAGGGAGCAUGCGAAGGGGAGAGGCAGCACCAAAGUUGAAGCGAAUCCAUAGGCGUACCAGUGUGUCUCCGGUUCCUUGAUGCGGAGACAAUGGUGUGGUUGACCGUAGGUGUGUGUCCUCGGAGGAGCUUGGAUGAGAAUCUCACAUGAAGAUAAGUCGACUUUUAAUUCAACGAACCCUUUUCUGCAAAAGCUUGUGCCCCAGUGGGGGAAUUAAGGAGGUAAGAAGGGGGCUCUCGGGGAAACGCACUGUCUAGUGGGGACCCGUCAGUAGCCUUACCGACAGGGGCAAUGAAAUGGUUUUGGUUGGGAUGUGGAUGGCUUUCAGGAGUGAGACGAUCAUGCAUAGAAGGACGUCUUUGUUAAGCUCUUCGUGUAUACGGUAUGAGGUUUCAGGUCUCAUAGAAGAAAAGUGGGGCCAAGUAGGGCCUAGUUUCUCUUUUGCAUCUUUAAAGAGGUCCUUAGCAUAUUAAGUGGUAUCGUUCCUGCCUAACGUUGCAGGCCCAUCAUAGAGAACAGAAAUGUUUGUAAUUUGUUCAUUUCUGUCUCUAGCUGGCAAGAAUGAGUCUAGCACUUCCAAGCAAGAUUGUUCUUUUUCCCUUUUUUGUUUGCUUUAUCCAGAGUCUAGCCAGAAAGAUUCAUCUCAAGGUAUUACUUACAAUUGCUUUCCUUUAUCAUACGCUUAUAUCUUACUUGAACGCAGUUAACGUAAUUUUUGCUCAUGUAUUUUCGUUAAAAGUUACAAAGCCUAAGAUAGUCCAUGAAUUUGGGGGAAAUUGGUCCAUGGGGUUUACUUAGCUGCGGGCUGUGCUAAGGGUAGGACCUGGAUUUAAAACACCGUCAGUUGUUUAGACUGUUAGAAACUUUUAUUUAGGGCCAAACCUGCAGCAUAUGGAAGUUAGGCCAGGGGUUGAAUGAGAGUUGUAGCUGCUGGCCUACCCCCCAGCCACAGCAACCUAGAUCUGAGUCACAUCUGCAUUGUACACUGCAGCUUGCAGCAGUACCAUAUCCUUAACCUACUGAGCCAGGCCAGGGACCAACCCUCAUCCUCUUGGAUACUCUUUGGGUUCUUAACCCACUGAGCCACAAAGGGAACUCUAGAAACUUCUCUAUCACUCAACGAAAUAAGGCCUGAAUGAGGCUAAAUGGAAAUAUAAAUAAGUUUUCAGUUAAAAAUUGGUUGCCUUCUUUGGGGGAGGGGUGUAGGUAAAGCUGUAACACAUACUCCAUACAGUUAACCAAGUGCACAGUUCGAUGGUGUUUAGUAUAUUCACGAGCUGUGCAGACACCAGCAUAAUCAAUUUUAGAACGCAUUAGCUGUCACUCCUUGUAUUCGCCCUCCCACAGCCCCGGGAAAUCGCUGAUCUUUGUGUGGAGUUGCUUAUUUGGGAUACCUCAUGUAAAUGGAAUCAAAUUAAUGUGUGGUUUUUCAUGCCUGGCUUCUCUCGUUGGAAUAUUUUUAAGAUUUAUUUUUGUAGUAUCAGUACUUAAUUUCUUUUCAUUGCCAAAAAAGAUUCUAUUUUGUUGAUGCAGCACAUUUUAUUUAUCCAUUCAUCAGUUGAUGGACAUUUGAGUUUCUUUGGGGGGGGCUGUUAUGAACAAUACUGCUGUGAACAUUAGUGCAUAGGCUUGUGUGUGGGCAUAUGCCUUCAUUCCUCGAGUGUAUACCUAGGGGUGGAAUUGCUGGGUCACAGGUUAACUCUUCUGUUUAACCUAUUGCGGAAAUGCCAAAUUUUUCUCCAAAGUGGCUGUACCAUUUUACAUUCCCGCUAGCGAUGGGUGAGGGUUGCAGUUUCUCCACAUGUUCUUGGAUGUGAAGUGGUAUCGUCGUGGUGGUUUUCCAUUUUUAAGGAUUCAGAGUUUGUGAGGAGCUUGCUAGAGGAUAAUCUUUGAGUGAAGAGGCUGUGUAAGACGAAUUUGUCUUUCCAGUCCCUGGCACACAAAUAGACAUACCUGUGUUUCUGCUAUGAUCUCACUUGUGUUCGUGAAAAAAAACUCUCAUGCUCAGGAAAAUUGUGCAUUUGAAAGAAGCAGGACUUAACGGGAGGAAUAGGCUCAGGGUUGACUACUCAAAACUCCUGGGCUUGGAUAACCUGUACCUGGGAGGUACUCUUAUGCCCUCCCAACCCAUUAAAAAGGUAACUUUAAAAGGAGACUUAAAGUCUCCAUUUAACAGUAAGAUGUAUUAAAAGAGCAAGGUUGGGGGCUGCUGGACGUUACAGAUGGAAGGAGAGCUUUGGGUGAAUGGGCUGCUGUUAGACGGACUCAGAGGUAAUGUAACCUGCUGUGAACCUGGGGAGCAGGAGGAGGUGGGUGUUGCUCAGGAGGGAGCUCCUGGUGCAGGCCGUCGCUUUUCGUUUUAAGAUAGAGCUGAGGCGUUCCCUUGGUAGUUCUCAGCCAGUUAUGUUGUCUCUGAGGAUGCUGGUUCAAUCCCUGGCCUCACUCAGUGGGUUAAGGAUCUGGCGUGGCUGUAAGCUGCGGUGAAGGUUGCAGAUGCUGCUAGGAUCCUGGGUUGUAGUGGCCUCGGCUGCAGCACCGAUUAGAUCCCCAGCCUGAGAACUUCCGGAUGUUGCAGGUGCGGCCAUUUAAAAAAAAAGAAAAGGCUGAACCUAUCUUGCUGCUGCCAAUUCAGCAUCAGAGUACAAAGAGGACUUUUUUCCUUUUAUUCUGAAUUGAUUCCUGAUUCUGUGGCUCUCGCUUUAUUCUGACAGUAUUCUUCUAAUUAUUAAUUACAGAUGAGGUACAGAAAACUGCUCUGCUGCAGGACAGAUUUACUUAAAUGUAGACCCGCUAGAUGAAAAUAAGCAACUCACUUUACAGAAGCCACAAGGGGUCGCUGCUCGGGGUGUUAAGUGUACUUCUGGAUGGGGAAGAAUUAUAUUCUUGGAGAUGUUGAAAAAAGAUUCCUGGGUCUUGGAAAAUAAUUACUAGAAAUAUGCAGGUGAGGUGGUAUAUCAUUUUUUAAUGUAUUAAGUAUUCCUGGAAUAAAAACAGUGAGUUGGAAGAGGGGAGGGUUGUUCAAGUUGAAAAAUGGAUUUAUAAAGGCUUGAGUGAAAUCUCAUGUCCUAUUUUAUGGUAUAGAAUCUCAUUAAUUUGUCUCUUUCACACACACAUAGUUCUCUGUUUUUGUUUUAAAUACUGCUUAUUUCUCUCAACAACUCUGAAAACAAAUAGAUUUUUUUACCUUCUAGGACUGGUCUCAUCCUUAUUGAACACCUACCUUUUUCUCAGCUUUUCAUUGGUUUUUUUUUUGGUCUUUUGAGGGCCGCACCUGCGCCAUAUGGACAUGAGGAAGUUCCCAGGUUAGGGGUCAAAUCGGAUGUACAGCUGCCAGUCUACAUCACAGCCACAGCAAUGUGAGAUCUGAGCCGUGUCUGCAACCUACAGCACAGCUCCCAGCAACGCCAGAUCCUUAACCCACUAAGCGAGGCCAGGGAUCGAACCUUCAUCCUCAUGGAUGCUAGUCAGAUUUGUUUCUGCUGAGCCACAAUGGGAACUCCUUUGUCAGCUUUUUAGCAAGUUUUAUGGGAACAUUUGUCAUCCUGAUAUGAUAAAAUGUAUUUCUAGUAACUGACUUAUAUUCUUGCUGCAUUUUUCAUCCUUUCAGUUCUCUGGGUUUUUGUUUUGUUUUUUGUUUGUUUGUUUUGGAAAGCCUUGGGGUCUUGAAAUUUUGGGUGACUAAAUAUAAAGACAGCCCUGAAUCUGAUCUUUUCCCAAGAAUUUUAGACCUUUUCAGCUAAUUCGUAAGUUGUACAUUUUUUGGAUAUGGACUGUGACUUUCUGGGUUAGUUAAUUAUUGCUGUGUAACAAAGUACCCAAAACUUUGCAGUUUAGGACAGCAUGCAGUUUAGGACAGCAAACACUUAUUGGGUAGGAGGGCGAGGAGGAAGGGGAAGGACCUCAGCUUCCCAACUGUCUCAGUUGGCGAGCCUCCGUUCCCACACGGCUGUUGGCCGAAGACCUCAAUUCUUCUUCGCUGUGUGACCCUCUCCGUGGGCCUGAGUGUCCUCGCAGGACAGCUGGCUCUCCCCCGAGGGAGUGGUCCCGGAGAGAAAGGCUGCGAUGGAUGCUUGUUUUUCCGAUAGUCUUAUUAGAAGUGAUGGAACAUCACUUCUGCCCUCUUCUGUUGGUCCUGCUAUAGUGCAGGUGGGCACUGUGCACAGGUGUGACUACCAAGAGGCGAGGGGUCGUUGGGGACAUCUCGGAGGUUGACGGCCAUGCUUUAGUUAAACUUUAACUGUUUCAGUUUAGGAAGUCAAGAGAUGUAACAUCGGGCCCUCAAAUGGGAGCAUUAGAAGUAUGAGAGCACACGGAUUCAAAGAAGUGCUCUCUUUUCUAAGAUGCAUGGUUUCUUGCUUUGUGUAUGUAAAGUACUUAAGCAGUGCUACGCUCUUUCUGGAGAGUUUCUAAGGAGUCUAUGAGAAAGUUCAUUUUAUAGUCAGGACACUCUACCUUGAUUAAAUGAGAUUUUUCUUGGACCCAUUUCCCCUUUCCUAGGUGAAGGCUGCGAAGAGGUUAGUUGGAACGAGACUAUAGAUAGAAAUUUUCUGUCCCUUCCCUGUUAUUUUGCUCGGGGUGCAGGUUGACUUAGAAAAGUUGAAAUUUCUGUUGAGAAUUUUUCAAGGAAUGUAGUCUAAUUCGUUAUUGGCAGUUACACAGGUAUUUGACGUAACAUGGAGUAAAGAUGCAAAUACACAGCAGCAGAGUUAGAGGAGGUUGCCUUUCCCCCCAAAGCUUGAAUUUUAUCCAGUGUGUGCUUCUGAUCAUUGGAAACCUUGUCUAACAACAGAAACAGCAUAUAAAGCAUAACCAGCUUUGAAAUGUAUUAAGGCGUGGUUGCCCGUCCCAUGUCAGGCUUGAUGUUGAAAAGACGACACUGCCAAGUUAGCAGAAGAAACAAAUCGAAGGGUGUUGUUCUCCAAGAACACCAUUUAUCAGAUUUAUCAAGAAUUCAAAGAUUUAUAUAAUAAGGUAAGAGGUUUAUAAAUGUUUUCGUUUUGACAAAAGCCAAAAAAAUCAAAUUUGAGCAAAAAGACAUUUGAGCAAUGUGGAUAUUGUAUUCAAUUAAAAUUUCUCCUUAUUUUUUCACCUUUCAAAGACAACAAAUAGGAUUUCAAAGAUAAUUUUCCAAAUCAAUAGAUUUGGUUCAGGAUAGGCAUUUGGGUGGAUGGGAAGCUGGACUUUGAACCUUGAUAGUCAUUUUUUCUUAAAAAUAGUGAUAGAGUUCUUUCAAGUCCUGAAAUUCUUAGCAACCUUGUGUUCUCGGUUUCAAUUUGAUGAAUUAUUGGAUAUUAGUGUGCCAGUGGACGACCAUCCUAUGACUUCAGCUUUGUUCAGGAACAGUAGACAGGUCAGAAGCUGAGAAUCUUGAAUCUAAUCCCAGAUUAAUCUGUCCUUAAUUAAGCAUGUUAUCUUGGGGUGUUUCUCAAAUUUGAGGAGUGUGGGGGGGGGUUCUUUUAAAUAUUCAAUGUCUAUUUAAAUUAAUUUUGUUUCUUAAAAUUUCUGUAAACGUAGGUUGAUAUAAACUGUGUUUGUGACCCUUAAUGAAAACGCUUACAAAAUAAAUGCACUUGAAAACAAAGUUUUUCUUUUUUCUUUUUGUCUUUUCUAGGGCUGCACCCAAGGCAUAUGGAGGUUCCCAGGCUAGGGGUGAAAUCAGAGCUGUAGCCGCCGGCCUACACCACAGCCACAGCAACGCAGGAUCCAAGCCGUGUCUGCGACCUACACCACAGCUUAGGGCAAUGCCGGAUCUUAACCCACUGAGUGAGGCCAGGGGUCAAACCCGCAACCUCAUGGUUCCUAGUUGGAUUCGUUCACCACUGCGCCAUGACUCCUGAAAAUGAAAUUUAAACAUUAAUGGGAUGGAUGUCACUGUUUUACAGCAGUAAACAUAGUGUUAUCUUGCUGUCCAGUGUAUUUUACACACAGUCUGGUGCCUUGUCAUGAUUACAGUUUCACAUACAUACAAAAAUGUGGUUGUCCAGAACUUUCACUCUUUUGCAGACUUCAGGAUUAUUGAAAUGACGAGAGGGGGCUAAUUCUCAAAAGGAUGCCUUUGGACUGUGCAGAUCCUAAUUUGAAGAAUUCUCUGUUACAUUAUCUACACAUUCUUCUAGCUCCAAUGAGUGAUUUAGAGUCUUGGAGUUAACAUUCUUUUGAAGAAAGCUUCAGUUUUUGACGGGUUUGGCUUGGCUAGUAGUUAACUGAAUUGGAAUAAAAGUGGACUAUUUUGCGAACUAAUGCUGGUUUUUCUUUUUUGAUAUAGGUAGUCCGUCCUUUGCACCAUUUCAACAUAUGCCUGAAUAUCAGUUUUCACACUGUAGACAAUACCUGUCCCCCAACGAGACUGAACUUUUAGUCACAGUACUAACUGAAUUAUUCCGUAAACGUUGCUGCUAGCUCUUUAUUCCAGAAUCAUUAUGCAAAUAAAAGAUGUGCCUCAUGAAUCUACUUUGGAUUGAGGACUGUAAUAAAAAACAGUUACAUCACU
Sus scrofa (pig) is the source of this 6621-nucleotide non-coding RNA. The record is from RefSeq and is a predicted model, not a curated record. Lineage: Eukaryota; Metazoa; Chordata; Mammalia; Artiodactyla; Suidae.